RNAcentral lists this ribosomal RNA (725 nucleotides) under Diphya spinifera. Its description in RNAcentral is "SSU rRNA". It matches the Rfam family "Eukaryotic small subunit ribosomal RNA", at positions 1003 to 1748 of the family's 1831-position model. Lineage: Eukaryota; Metazoa; Arthropoda; Arachnida; Araneae; Tetragnathidae. The record is from RNAcentral.
GGCGAUCAGAUACCGCCCUAGUUUUGACCAUAAACGAUGCCAGCCAGCGAUCCGGCUGCGUUCCUCAAAUGACGCGCCGGGCAGCUUCCGGGAAACCAAAGCUUUUGGGUUCCGGGGGGAGUAUGGUUGCAAAGUUCAAACUUAAAGGAAUUGACGGAAGCGCACACAAGGAAUGGGGCCUGCGGUUCAAUUUGACUCAACACGGCGCAUCUCACUCGGCCCGGACACUGGAAGGAUUGACAGAUUAAGAGCUCUUUCUUGAUUCAGUGAUAGGUGGUGCAUGGCCGUUUCUGGUUGGUGGAGUGAUUUGUCUGCUUUAUUGCGUUAACGAGCGAGACUCUAGCCUACUAAAUAGACGUUCCGAUCCUUCUGAGUCGGACGUUCUUCUUAGAGGGACAAGCGGUGUUCAGCCGCACGAAACAGAGCAAAAACAGGUCAGGAUGCCCUUAGAUGUUCGGGGCCACACGCGCGCCACAUUGAAGGAAUCAGCGUGUGCUUUCCCUGUCCGUAAGGAUUGGGUAACCCGGUGAACCUCCUUCGUGCUAGGGAUAGGGGCUUGAAACUGUUCCCCUUGAACGAGGAAUUCCCAGUAAGCAUGAGUCAUCAGCUCGUGUUGAUUACGUCCCUGCGCUUUGUACACACCGCCCGUCGCUAUCAUCGAUGAAUGUUGGAGUGAGAUCUUCGGACUGGUGCCCGGACUGGACCUCGGUUCGAGCCGGAGCGCU